RNAcentral lists this ribosomal RNA (497 nucleotides) under uncultured bacterium. RNAcentral describes it as "partial 16S ribosomal RNA". It matches the Rfam family "Bacterial small subunit ribosomal RNA", at positions 28 to 507 of the family's 1533-position model. The record is from RNAcentral.
GACGAACGCUGGCGGCGUGCCUAAUACAUGCAAGUUGAGCGCUGAAGGUUGGUACUUGUACCGACUGGAUGAGCAGCGAACGGGUGAGUAACGCGUGGGGAAUCUGCCUUUGAGCGGGGGACAACAUUUGGAAACGAAUGCUAAUACCGCAUAAAAACUUUAAACACAAGUUUUAAGUUUGAAAGAUGCAAUUGCAUCACUCAAAGAUGAUCCCGCGUUGUAUUAGCUAGUUGGUGAGGUAAAGGCUCACCAAGGCGAUGAUACAUAGCCGACCUGAGAGGGUGAUCGGCCACAUUGGGACUGGGACACGGCCCAAACUCCUACGGGAGGCAGCAGUAGGGAAUCUUCGGCAAUGGACGAAAGUCUGACCGAGCAACGCCGCGUGAGUGAAGAAGGUUUUCGGAUCGUAAAACUCUGUUGGUAGAGAAGAACGUUGGUGAGAGUGGAAAGCUCAUCAAGUGACGGUAACUACACAGAAAGGGACGGCUAACUACGUG